ACCUCGCGCCGUCAAGCGUGAUUGCGUUUUCGCCACAUGGAGGGCGGGGAGGAGCGUUUUACGACACCUUGGGAAGGCAAUAUACGGCAGUAGGAGGGGCGAGAAAGAAGGAGAAAAAGAAUAGGAGCAAGAGCAACUUUCAAAAAUGAGUGACAGAAAGGCAGGAAGUGGGAGGUGGCGACCGCCCGUAACAGUUGACUGUAAUGAUUGCCGUUUAUUGCAGACCCGCUAUUUUUAGGCACUGUGAGAGACAUUUUACAUUUUAUGACCUCCUUACUUCAACAAUCUCAUAAGGCAGUAUUAUCCUCUCUUUACAGGUGGUUGAACUGAGACCCAAAGAGGUUGAACAACUUGCCAAAGUCUCGCAAGAAGAAAGUCAAAGUGUCAAGAUUUGAAUCCAGGUCUAAAACUCAAAAGCAAACCCGAGAGCCAGAAGGAGGCUUCUGAGAUACUGGUAGUGACUCCCAGAGUAGGAUUGCUAAAAGGUAAAAGGUCUUUGAACAUAAUUUUGAAAAGAAAAAAUAAUGGAAUCAUUUUCCAUAACCAUAAUAUACUAUUUUCAUGUCUGCUAAUGUACUCUCACUUUUUUAAGCUAUUACAUUUAAGUCUGCGAUCUAUUUAAGCUAAUUUUUGUAGAUGGUAAGAGGUAGAGGCCCAACUUCAUUCUUUUGCAUGUGGAUAUCCAGUUAUCCCGGCACCAUUUGUUGAAAUUCUUGCCCCUUUAGAUGUUUUGGGAAAUUUGUGAAGAACCAAUUGGCUACAAAUGUGAGGGUUUAUUUCUGCACUCUCAAUUCUAUUCUGUUUGAUCUGUAUGUCUGUCCUU
Molecule: long non-coding RNA, 823 nt
Organism: Lontra canadensis (Northern American river otter)
Lineage: Eukaryota; Metazoa; Chordata; Mammalia; Carnivora; Mustelidae
Exons: 3
Source: RefSeq, a predicted model, not a curated record